GACAGAGGAGGCAAGCGUUAUCCGGCCUUAUUGGGCGUAAAGCGUCCGUAGGUGGUUUGGCAAGUCUGGGGUUAAAGCCCGGAGCCUAACUCCGGAUCGGCCCUGGAAACUGCCAGACUAGAGUAAGGUAGGGGUUGCGGGAAUUCCCGGUGUAGCGGUGAAAUGCGUAGAUAUCGGGAAGAACACCAGUGGCGAAAGCGCGCAACUGGGCCAUUACUGACACUGAGGGACGAAAGCUAGGGGAGCGAAGGGG
This 253-nucleotide ribosomal RNA is filed under the name uncultured bacterium. RNAcentral's name for it is "partial 16S ribosomal RNA". It matches the Rfam family "Bacterial small subunit ribosomal RNA", at positions 524 to 776 of the family's 1533-position model. The record is from RNAcentral.